AACGAACGCUGGCGGCAUGCCUAACACAUGCAAGUCGAACGAGACCUUCGGGUCUAGUGGCGCACGGGUGCGUAACGCGUGGGAACCUGCCCUUAGGUUCGGCAUAACUCCCCGAAUGGGGUGCUAAUACCGGAUAAUGUCUUCGGACCAAAGAUUUAUCGCCUUUGGAUGGGCCCGCGUUGGAUUAGCUUGUUGUUAGGGUAAAAGCCUACCAAGGCGACGAUCCAUAGCUGGUCUGAGAGGAUGAUCAGCCACACUGGGACUGAGACACGGCCCAGACUCCUACGCGAGGCAGCAGUGGGGAAUAUUGGAAAACGGGCGGAAGCCUGAUCCAGCAAUGCCGGGUGAGUGAUGAAGGCCUUAGGGUUGUAAAGCUCUUUUACCCGGGAUGAUAAUGACAGUACCGAGAGAAUAAGCCCCGGCUAACUCCGUG
Molecule: ribosomal RNA, 433 nt
Filed under: uncultured bacterium
Lineage: Bacteria
Description: partial 16S ribosomal RNA
Rfam family: Bacterial small subunit ribosomal RNA
Source: RNAcentral